GAAACCAACAGGGAUUGCCUCAGUAACGGCGAGUGAAGCGGCAAAAGCUCAAAUUUGAAACCCUCGGGAUUGUAAUUUGAAGAUUUGGCAUUGGAGAAAGCUAACCCAAGUUGCUUGGAAUAGUACGUCAUAGAGGGUGACAACCCCGUCUGGCUAACCGUUCUCCAUGUAUUGCCUUAUCAAAGAGUCGAGUUGUUUGGGAAUGCAGCUCAAAGUGGGUGGUAAACUCCAUCUAAAGCUAAAUACUGGUGAGAGACCGAUAGCGAACAAGUACUGUGAAGGAAAGGUGAAAAGAACUUUGAAAAGAGAGUGAAAUAGUAUGUGAAAUUGUUGAUAGGGAAGGAAAUGAGUGGAGAGUGGCCGAGGUUUCAGCCGCCCCUCGUGGGCGGUGUACUGCCGACGCCGAGUCAUCGAUAGCGAGACGAGGGUUACAAAUGGGAGCGCCUUCGGGCGUUCUCCCCUAACCCUCCACACUGCCNCCGACGA
RNAcentral lists this ribosomal RNA (486 nucleotides) under Yarrowia lipolytica. RNAcentral's name for it is "eukaryotic LSU rRNA". It matches the Rfam family "Eukaryotic large subunit ribosomal RNA", at positions 61 to 509 of the family's 3401-position model. Lineage: Eukaryota; Fungi; Ascomycota; Dipodascomycetes; Dipodascales. The record is from RNAcentral.